Molecule: ribosomal RNA, 926 nt
Filed under: Pedobacter sp.
Lineage: Bacteria; Pseudomonadati; Bacteroidota; Sphingobacteriia; Sphingobacteriales; Sphingobacteriaceae
Description: bacterial SSU rRNA
Rfam family: Bacterial small subunit ribosomal RNA
Source: RNAcentral
AGCAGCCGCGGUAAUACGGAGGAUCCAAGCGUUAUCCGGAUUUAUUGGGUUUCAAGGGUGCGUAGGCGUCCUGUUAAGUCAGGGGUGAAUGACGGUAGCUCAACUAUCGCAGUGCCCUUGAUACUGAUGGGCUUGAAUGGACUAGAGGUAGGCGGAAUGAGACAAGUAGCGGUGAAUUGCAUAGAUAUGUCUCAGAACACCGAUUGCGAAGGCAGCUUACUAUGGUUUUAUUGACGCUGAGGCACGAAAGCGUGGGGAUCAAACAGGAUUAGAUACCCUGGUAGUCCACGCCCUAAACGAUGAACACUCGCUGUUGGCGAUACACAGUCAGCGGAUAAGCGAAAGCGUUAAGUGUUCCACCUGGGGAGUACGCCCGCAAGGGUGAAACUCAAAGGAAUUGACGGGGGCCCGCACAAGCGGAGGAGCAUGUGGUUUAAUUCGAUGAUACGCGAGGAACCUUACCCGGGCUUGAAAGUUAGUGAAUGAUCUAGAGAUAGAUCAGUCCGCAAGGACACGAAACUAGGUGCUGCAUGGCUGUCGUCAGCUCGUGCCGUGAGGUGUUGGGUUAAGUCCCGCAACGAGCGCAACCCCUAUGUUUAGUUGCCAGCAUGUAAUGGUGGGGACUCUAAACAGACUGCCUGUGCAAACAGAGAGGAAGGAGGGGACGACGUCAAGUCAUCAUGGCCCUUACGUCCGGGGCUACACACGUGCUACAAUGGACGGUACAGAGGGCAGCUACAUAGCAAUAUGAUGCGAAUCUCACAAAGCCGUUCACAGUUCGGAUUGGGGUCUGCAACUCGACCCCAUGAAGUUGGAUUCGCUAGUAAUCGCGUAUCAGCAAUGACGCGGUGAAUACGUUCCCGGGCCUUGUACACACCGCCCGUCAAGCCAUGGAAGCUGGGGGUACCUAAAGUAUUAACCGCAAG